This is a long non-coding RNA of Gracilinanus agilis (Agile Gracile Mouse Opossum), 303 nucleotides long. RefSeq lists it as uncharacterized. The transcript is spliced from 3 exons. NCBI's taxonomy places the organism in Eukaryota, Metazoa, Chordata, Mammalia, Didelphimorphia, Didelphidae. The record is from RefSeq and is a predicted model, not a curated record.
AGAUAAGUUUCAUAACGUCUCAAGUUGAAGUGCCCAAGUUAGCCAUUUCCAGACUAGCUGUCAAACCAAAGGCUUCAAACAAAAAGAAAGAGGGGAAAACUGAAGCCCACCUGUGAAAUGGACCUAAGAACCAGAAAAAACAAGAAGGAAUGAGCAAUAACAAUGGGCCAGAGUAGGUGAAGAGACCAAGUACAACCUACAUCAGAGAAGCCAAAUAAGAAGGGAGAUGGGAGAAUGAGUAACUGCUAGCUGAACCAUCAGAAAAAGCCUCAUAGAAGACACUUGAUCUUGAAAAAAGCAAAG